The sequence is a transfer RNA, 96 nucleotides long. It matches the Rfam family "tRNA". From Rfam's summary of the family: Transfer RNA (tRNA) molecules are approximately 80 nucleotides in length. The record is from Rfam.
GUCCGCGUAACUCAGUGGUAGAGUGUGAGAUUGCAACAUCUGAGGUGCUGAUUUUGCAAUAUCUCGAAGCCCCGUGUUCGAACCACGGCGCGGACU